This 93-nucleotide small nucleolar RNA is filed under the name Pachysolen tannophilus NRRL Y-2460. Lineage: Eukaryota; Fungi; Ascomycota; Pichiomycetes; Alaninales; Pachysolenaceae. The record is from RNAcentral.
UGUUAAUGAUGAUACAUUUUUCUCAGCUCACUCAGAAUAUAUAUAAUGCUGAUAAUUUUAACCUAUCCAACAUUCAUCAUAUCUGAUUAAUCU